This 403-nucleotide ribosomal RNA is filed under the name uncultured bacterium. Its description in RNAcentral is "bacterial SSU rRNA". It matches the Rfam family "Bacterial small subunit ribosomal RNA", at positions 355 to 774 of the family's 1533-position model. The record is from RNAcentral.
UAGGGAAUAUUGGUUAAUGGGCGAAAGCCCGAACCAGCAACGCCGCGUGCACGAUGAAGGCCUUCGGGUCGUAAAGUGCUUUUUGGAGGGGUGAGGAAGGACAGUACCUUCAGAAUAAGCCUCGGCUAACUACGUGCCAGCAGCCGCGGUAAGACGUAGGAGGCGAGCGUUAUCCGGAUUUACUGGGCGUAAAGCGUGUGCAGGCGGUUUGGUUAGUUGGAUGUGAAAGCUCCUGGCUUAACUGGGAGAGGUCGUUCAAUACUGCCAGACUUGAGGAUGGGAGAGGAAGGUGGAAUUCCGAGUGUAGUGGUGAAAUGCGUAGAUAUUCGGAGGAACACCAGUGGCGAAAGCGGCCUUCUGGCCCAUCUCUGACGCUCAUACACGAAAGCUAGGGGAGCAAACG